RNAcentral lists this long non-coding RNA (1599 nucleotides) under Piliocolobus tephrosceles (Ugandan red Colobus). RNAcentral describes it as "lncRNA (ENSPTEG00000016868.1)". Lineage: Eukaryota; Metazoa; Chordata; Mammalia; Primates; Cercopithecidae. The record is from RNAcentral.
UAUAAUAUAUAUAUUUUCCCAUUUUUUUGUUUUAUUUUUUUUUUUUUAUAUUAAUGCAUUUUUAAAAUAAAUAGUAACAAAAUAAAUAGUAAUAAAAUUUUACGUUUAUGUUAAAGACAUAUAAAAAGGUAUAAACCUUAAGUAAGGGAUGAAUAUAUGUGGUUUAUAAAUGUACACAUGUUAUAUAUAUAUAUAUAAAUACAGUUUUAUACUUUUUGCUUGUGGUUUCCCAUUACAUAACAUAUUAAAACAGCUAAACGCAGCUUUAUUAUUAUACAAAAUUAGUAAAAAAAAAAAAAUAAAAUAAAUAAUAAAAUAAAAUUUAAACCUUAAUAAAUUAAAACUUAGGCUAAAGGCACUAGAGUAAUUUUAUAUAUAUAAUUCGGUUAGUAAAAAAAAAAAAAAGAAAAAAAAAAAAAAAAAAAAAAAAAAAAGUUGAAAAUAUACAAUAUAACAAGAUAUACAUUAUAUAUAUAAACUUACAAACUUUUAUAAUUUAUUAAAAAAAUAAGAAAAAAAAGAAAAUGUUAAAAGCUUUUACAUUAUAAUUGUUUUACGCUUUUUAUAAAAUUAUGUUAUCACGUUAACAGCUUUUUUAACUGCGUUAAAUAACGAAUUUAUUAUAUUACAUUUUAUUUUAGCCUUUAUUUUAGCCUUUAUUUUAGCCUUUAUUUUAGCCUUUAUUUUAGCUCUUAUUUUAGCUCUUAUUUUAGCUCUUAUUUUAUUUUAUAUAUUUCUCAUUUAAACCACAAUAGCCUAUUGUAAUUUGUGUCAUCAUUUUGAGUUAUUCUACAGUGUUUGUGUACUUGUACCUUUCUUAAGCUUUUCUUGUACUUUUUUUUUUUUUUUAUUAUUUUUUUUAAAAUAUAGGUAUUUUUUUUUUAAAUAAAUAAAUAUAUAUAUAUAUAUAUAUAUAUAUAUACCUUUUCUGUUCUUUAUAAAUAAUAUGGCUAACGAGAGCGCCGAAGUAGAUGAUUGGACUGAGUGGUUAGACGAUGCCGAAGACAACAAAACAAAAAAUACAAGUUUAUUACAACCUAGUGUUAAGAAUGAUGAAAUCAGAAAACAAAUAUUACAAAAUGACAUAAAUGAUAUAAAUGAUUUUUUAGAUAUAAGUGAUGAAAAAAGAGAAGAUAAUAAAGAAGAAAUCAAAGAAAAUAAAACUAAACAAAAAACUAAAACUUAUGAAAAAAUAAUACAACUAGAAAAUACUCCUUUAAAUUCUAUUAAAGAUUGUGAAAUGCUUGGUACAACUUUAGGUGUUAGAAUAAAAACAAGCAAUCUAAAAAGUGCUGCUUUAGAAAGAUUUUUGUCUAUUCUUUUAAAUGCGUCUGAAAGUAAAUUAGAUGAUAAAGAGUUAAAAAGUAUAAAUAGAAAAAUACAAGAAAUUCUUGAAAGACGAGAAAAACAAAAAAGAGAAACAGCAAUGAAAAAAAAAAACCAAAUGAAAUUAAAAAUAAAAUUAAAAAUUACCAAGAUGAAGUUGAUAUGAUCUAUGGUGAGUUAUCAUAUGAUGAAGACGACCCGAACAAUGAUUAUACGGAUGACUAUUAUGACUACGACAAUAAAAAGUAGAAAAAUGGAAAUGUAAGUGGGGAU